This 388-nucleotide ribosomal RNA is filed under the name Tetraselmis sp. Its description in RNAcentral is "partial small subunit ribosomal RNA". It matches the Rfam family "Eukaryotic small subunit ribosomal RNA", at positions 582 to 975 of the family's 1831-position model. The record is from RNAcentral. Lineage: Eukaryota; Viridiplantae; Chlorophyta; Chlorodendrophyceae; Chlorodendrales; Chlorodendraceae.
AUUCCAGCUCCAAUAGCGUAUAUUUAAGUUGCUGCAGUUAAAAAGCUCGUAGUUGGAUUUCGGAUGGGAUUUGCCGGUCCGCCGUUCCGGUGUGCACUGGCCAGUCUCAUCUUGUUGUUGGGGACUAGCUCCUGGGCUUCACUGUCCGGGACUAGGAGCUGACGAGGUUACUUUGAGUAAAUUAGAGUGUUCAAAGCAAGCCUACGCUCUGAAUACAUUAGCAUGGAAUAACAUGAUAGGACUCUGGCUUAUCUUGUUGGUCUGUGAGACCAGAGUAAUGAUUAAGAGGGACAGUCGGGGACAUUCGUAUUUCAUUGUCAGAGGUGAAAUUCUUGGAUUUAUGAAAGACGAACUACUGCGAAAGCAUUUGUCAAGGAUGUUUUCAUCA